GACAGAGGAUGCAAGCGUUAUCCGGAAUUAUUGGGCGUAAAGAGCUUGUAGGCGGUUUGUCGCGUCUGCUGUGAAAAUCCGGGGCUCAACCCCGGACUUGCAGUGGGUACGGGCAGACUGGAGUGUGGUAGGGGAGACUGGAAUUCCUGGUGUAGCGGUGGAAUGCGCAGAUAUCAGGAGGAACACCGAUGGCGAAGGCAGGUCUCUGGGCCACUACUGACGCUGAGAAGCGAAAGCAUGGGGAGCGAACAGG
RNAcentral lists this ribosomal RNA (253 nucleotides) under uncultured bacterium. Its description in RNAcentral is "partial 16S ribosomal RNA". It matches the Rfam family "Bacterial small subunit ribosomal RNA", at positions 524 to 776 of the family's 1533-position model. The record is from RNAcentral.